RNAcentral lists this long non-coding RNA (333 nucleotides) under Homo sapiens (human). RNAcentral describes it as "non-protein coding lnc-GRPEL1-2:1". The record is from RNAcentral. Lineage: Eukaryota; Metazoa; Chordata; Mammalia; Primates; Hominidae.
ACACCCUGACACCACACUCAACACACUCAACAUACACACCACACUGACACACAAAACAUACACCACACAACACCACAUUCACACCCACACUCACACCACACUCAACACACACAUUCACACAUACCACACACACCACACUCAACAUACAUACCACACACCUCACUGACACACAAAACACACCACACAACACACCACAUUCACACUCACACGCACAUCACACUCACCACACUCACACAUUCUCACACACCACAUUCCACACACCACAUUCAACACACACACCACACACACUACACACUCACACUAAACACACCACAUUCGCACCCACACACACAC